Molecule: ribosomal RNA, 468 nt
Filed under: uncultured bacterium
Lineage: Bacteria
Description: partial 16S ribosomal RNA
Rfam family: Bacterial small subunit ribosomal RNA
Source: RNAcentral
GACGAACGCUGGCGGCGUGCUUAACACAUGCAAGUCGAACGGAAAGGCCCUGCUUUUGUGGGGUGCUCGAGUGGCGAACGGGUGAGUAACACGUGAGUAACCUGCCCUUGACUUUGGGAUAACUUCAGGAAACUGGGGCUAAUACCGGAUAGGAGCUCCUGCUGCAUGGUGGGGGUUGGAAAGUUUCGGCGGUUGGGGAUGGACUCGCGGCUUAUCAGCUUGUUGGUGGGGUAGUGGCUUACCAAGGCUUUGACGGGUAGCCGGCCUGAGAGGGUGACCGGCCACAUUGGGACUGAGAUACGGCCCAGACUCCUACGGGAGACAGCAGUGGGGAAUAUUACACAAUGGGCGGAAGCCUGAUGCAGCAACGCCGCGUGCGGGAUGACGGCCUUCGGGUUGUAAACCGCUUUCGCCUGUGACGAAGCGUGAGUGACGGUAAUGGGUAAAGAAGCACCGGCUAACUACGUG